This 1863-nucleotide long non-coding RNA is filed under the name Zea mays. RNAcentral describes it as "long non-coding RNA (ZMAY_LNC004625)". The record is from RNAcentral. Lineage: Eukaryota; Viridiplantae; Streptophyta; Magnoliopsida; Poales; Poaceae.
UUUAUAGUAAAAUUUUAGACUUUACUAUUUUUAAUGGAGAAAUAAACGGCAGCCUAGGGCCUCACUUCACUCGGGACCUAUAUAGGUCCGCCCCUGACACGAAACCUGCAGCAGGUAUUCGAGUUCCAGAUAAUCUUUAGCACUACCAUAUGUCCAUCUUUACCUCUACACUAGAAUUAGACAGCGCCUAUCAGGCGCUAUAAAAUUUCUUUGAUGCAGCUCUAGUGUCAUAUCAACGAAGACAUCAUGUGUUAGCAAAUGCUUCAGGAUUGUGCUCUAAUGCAGCCUCCCAAAUUUCAUAUAUGCCUUUCUGAAAUAUAGAUUAACAACAAUAUCAAAUAUUAGUGUCAGAUACUUGAAACUGUUUCGGAGGCGUAAGAUACAAAUAUUAGUGUGCCCUUGGCUGUUUGCAGUUUUCUAAAUUCAAUCAAGAUGAUAAGUGUUUACUUCUUUGUAUGAAGGAGAGUGGGAUACUGGCUGCUAGAGCUCAGUUUUCCAAACAUGACUUGGGAUACUGAGAAGAGUAUUGUUCAAUGACAUUGGUUCUGAUACUUCUCUGCUUCAUGUUUAGAGUACGUCAAUGGCUUGUGUGUCCGUUAACUCUAGCUCCCAACUACCGUGGAAUUAGAUCUCAAGGCAUUCUACUAAAUUUUAAUACUGGAAUAAGACCAAUUCUAAGCAUGAUUCUAAAUGCCAGGAAAUCGAGAGAGAGAAAAAACAAGUACCGCAAUCACACUUACCUUUUGCUAUAUUCACUGAAAGUGGGAGUUUCCAUGCCUUUAAACUAAAACAACGAAGAGGGUGAAUCAAAACAUAAGUAAUCUAAAAAAGUCUUUCAGCCACUGGUGGUUAACAAGUUUGAUUUUCCCUUUUUUGCAACCAUAUGCUUCUCCAACGAUACAUAACAAAACUAUCUAGCAUUAAAGAUAUAAUAUAUGCAUACAUAGCCAAAGAAAUGGACGACGAAAAAAUAGAAUCUCUAACUACUUUUGACCGGCCGGUGAUGGCUUGGCAGGACGCGGGAGCCGACUGGACGCUCGCCUGGCGCGCGUUGGGGUGGUUGCGCGCUGGCGGCGUGCGUGGGCGAGCACGUUGGCGCCUAGGUGGCGAACGCGGGCGAGCGCGCUGGAUGCUGGCUACUGGAACGUGAGGCUAGAGGCUGAGCCUGGAGGUGGCUGCUAGGAUUUGGCGUGGGGGCCAGGGGCGUUGCCAUUUACCAACAACGUCCUAGCGUGAGGGUGGCUAGAGCGUUAAGCAGUGGACGAAGCUUGGCGUGACCUAGGCCGCAGCCGAGUCCAGGUCUCCGCCACUGCCUUGGGGAUCAGGUCGCCGAGCUCCUUAGCGUGGGCGGUGCAGCUACGCCCAAUGACAACGACCUUUGUGCUUGUCGUCGUAGUUGCUGCCAUGGUCGGUGAGUGUUGGUGGACUGGAGGUUUCAAGGAUAAAGUGAAGGCGAAGGACAUGCAAACUGGUUGCUUCGAAGCCCACCGUCCAGACAUUUAAUUAUCACGAAGCAUGAAUGGGUGGAGCAUAGGCGAGGCGGGACCCGCGGAUGUUGCCAUCGCAAUCACUGGACAGCCUCGCCCAUGCGGCCAUGCCUUCUCAGUCGUGCGAACAGCAUGCUUCCAGCUCCCACUCAGUGUGCGACCAUGUGUCAGGCUGCGAAAGCAUCGUAAAGCGAGAAGUGGCUGCUUGAAGGGAAAAGAGAUUUCUCUGACGCGCGUCGACUGAAGCGCGGGGAGGCGUCUAAAAGGGGUGAGGUUCUAAUAACUUAGAUUCUUCGGUCUAAACAUAGAUGAGUUGAGCAAAGGGACUUGUAUUGUACCACUGAAGAAAGACCACGACGAGGCUUGCUUGGCGUUC